Molecule: transfer RNA, 74 nt
Filed under: Chaetobranchopsis orbicularis
Lineage: Eukaryota; Metazoa; Chordata; Actinopteri; Cichliformes; Cichlidae
Also listed under: 1 other name
Description: tRNA-Leu
Rfam family: tRNA
About the family: Transfer RNA (tRNA) molecules are approximately 80 nucleotides in length. Their secondary structure includes four short double-helical elements and three loops (D, anti-codon, and T loops).
Source: RNAcentral
GUUAAGGUGGCAGAGCCCGGUAAAUGCAAGAAACCUAAACUUUCUAAACGGAGGUUCAAAUCCUCCCCCCAACU